GUUUAAGAGUGAGUGCAAUGCCAAAAAAACACUUACUGCUGCUUGGAAAGAAGAAGAGUUAAGAUGCCUUCUAAAGUGUUAGUGAUUUAUAUUGAUUCUAAGUGAAGCUGUCCUGUUUGUGUAGACUGCAAAGUUCAGAAAGAAACGGUGUCUCUCUCUCUUGCAUCGGGGAUGAUGUUUGCAGUGAAAGCUUUGAGUCUAUCAAACCCUGCUUUGUUUGCACUGACAGCUGGUGCAACAGUGACAGGAAUCUUAAUCUACAAUAUCGGGAAAUCAUCCGACAAGAGUACGAAGGAACAACCGCACAUCGACUCCGACGUUGAGCCAGAUCCUGCACCGGAUGAUACAAAUGCAGAGCUUUUAUUGGCCCUAGUCUGUGAAGAGGAAUCUGAAAACUGCUAACAUGAAGGAAUUACGACAACCAGACAAGUUCAGAUCAUGUUAAAGCGUUUUGCUUGAUUUAGCCUCACUAAAAAUCAGACUAGUAUAAUUUCUUAGAUAUACACUGUAUUUACCAUGUACUUGCUUUGGGGAAACAAUUACACAACGCUGUUGUGCAAUUGCUGAGGAUUGGGAAAUUUCCAAAAUAAACAUCAUCUACUAAAAUCAAGACAAACACGAUUGUAUUUCCAUCCAUUCAGAGGACAAAAUAUUGACUUGCAUAAAUUUCCUGAAGACUUAACCUUACUCUAACCGCUACUUGUUUAACUUCUUGUCUUAUUACACCUACACUGGCCUGAAAACUUUAAUCUUCAACCUUAUUGAAAUUGAAUGAUUUACAUAAUGUAGUCAGAUUUAUGUUCCCACAACAUGAGUACCACAAGUUAACAACGCACCCAGCUGAACUUUGACAGACGAUAAAACAACAUUUAUUUUGAUUUAAAAAAAGCAACUUUAAUGAGUCGAGUUCAAUCUUCAGAUUUCUCAACUCUGACGCCAGAGAACAAAUAAUUCACAGACAUAAGACGGACUGAGCUGUUGACCAAAUACACAUCAGCUGCAUGUGCUUGUGAAGCUUUCAGUCUAAAAACCUGGGGCUACCGAAGAGUUACAGACUUCAUUUUUAAGCGGUUGUUCCUGAACAUUUAGUUGUGUUUUUCUGGUCAGUUCAGCUGUGACUGGAUGGUGGAGGACCAGUCUGAGCCGUUGCUAUGCCAUC
Amphiprion ocellaris (clown anemonefish) is the source of this 1159-nucleotide long non-coding RNA. The record is from Ensembl. NCBI's taxonomy places the organism in Eukaryota, Metazoa, Chordata, Actinopteri, Pomacentridae.